UACGAAGGGUGCAAGCGUUACUCGGAAUUACUGGGCGUAAAGCGUGCGUAGGUGGUUCGUUAAGUCUGAUGUGAAAGCCCUGGGCUCAACCUGGGAAUGGCGCUUGAAACUACGGGACUGGAGUAUGGCAGAGGGAGGUGGAAUUCCACGUGUAGCGGUGAAAUGCGUAGAGAUGUGGAGGAACACCGAUGGCGAAGGCAGCCUCCUGGGCCAAUACUGACGCUCAUGCACGAAAGCGUGGGGAGCAAACAGG
This 253-nucleotide ribosomal RNA is filed under the name uncultured bacterium. RNAcentral's name for it is "partial 16S ribosomal RNA". It matches the Rfam family "Bacterial small subunit ribosomal RNA", at positions 524 to 776 of the family's 1533-position model. The record is from RNAcentral.